AUGUAUGCCAUGCUGUGUACCAGACCUGAUGUAAACCUUGCCGUAAGUUUGGUAGGAAGGUACCAAAGUAAUCCCGGCAAGGAACACUGGACAGCGGUCAAGAAUAUCCUGAAGUACCUGAAGAGGACUAAGGAUAUGUUUCUCGUUUAUGGAGGUGACGAAGAGCUCGUCGUAAAGGGUUACGUCGACGCUAGCUUCGACACAGAUCUGGAUGACUCGAAGUCACAGACUGGAUACGUGUAUAGUUUGAAUGGAGGAGCAGUAAGCUGGUGCAGUUGCAAGCAAAGCGUCGUGGCGGGAUCUACAUGUGAAGCGGAGUACAUGGCAGCCUCGGAGGCAGCACAGGAAGCAGUCUGGAUGAAGGAGUUCAUUACUGACCUAGGGGUGAUUCCCAAUGCGUCGGGCCCAAUGACUCUCUUCUGUGACAACACUGGAGCUAUUGCCCUUGCGAAGGAGCCUAGGUUUCACAGGAAGACCAGGCAUAUCAAGCGUCGCUUCAACUCCAUUCGUGAAAGUGUUCAAAAUGGAGACAUAGAUAUUUGUAAAGUACACACGGACCUGAAUGUAGCAGAUCCGUUGACUAAACCUCUCCCUAGGGCAAAACAUGAUCAACACCAGGACGCAAUGGGUGUUCGAUUCAUCACAAUGUAA
RNAcentral lists this ribosomal RNA (651 nucleotides) under Triticum aestivum (bread wheat). Its description in RNAcentral is "partial small subunit ribosomal RNA". The record is from RNAcentral. Lineage: Eukaryota; Viridiplantae; Streptophyta; Magnoliopsida; Poales; Poaceae.